This 253-nucleotide ribosomal RNA is filed under the name uncultured bacterium. Its description in RNAcentral is "partial 16S ribosomal RNA". It matches the Rfam family "Bacterial small subunit ribosomal RNA", at positions 524 to 776 of the family's 1533-position model. The record is from RNAcentral.
UACGUAGGGGGCAAGCGUUAUCCGGAUUUAUUGGGCGUAAAGAGCUCGUAGGCGGCCGUUCGCGUCGGAUGUGAAAGCUCAGGGCUCAACUCUGAGACGCCAUUCGAUACGGGACGGCUAGAGGUAGGUAGGGGAAAGCGGAAUUCCUGGUGUAGCGGUGAAAUGCGCAGAUAUCAGGAGGAACACCGGUGGCGAAGGCGGCUUUCUGGGCCUUACCUGACGCUGAGACGCGAAAGCGUGGGGAGCGAACCGG